This 293-nucleotide ribosomal RNA is filed under the name uncultured bacterium. RNAcentral describes it as "partial 16S ribosomal RNA". It matches the Rfam family "Bacterial small subunit ribosomal RNA", at positions 775 to 1067 of the family's 1533-position model. The record is from RNAcentral.
GGAUUAGAUACCCUGGUAGUCCACGCUGUAAACGAUGUCUACUAGCCGUUGGGUUCCUUGAGGACUGAGUGGCGCAGCUAACGCGAUAAGUAGACCGCCUGGGGAGUACGGCCGCAAGGUUAAAACUCAAAUGAAUUGACGGGGGCCCGCACAAGCGGUGGAGCAUGUGGUUUAAUUCGAUGCAACGCGAAGAACCUUACCAGGUCUUGACAUCCUGAGAACUUUCUAGAGAUAGAUUGGUGCCUUCGGGAACUCAGUGACAGGUGCUGCAUGGCUGUCGUCAGCUCGUGUUG